UUUGAGUUUGGAAACCAAACCCUAACACCUCUUCCCUCUCUCUGCUCCACACCCCUAACGUCUCUUCCCUCUCUCUGCUCCACACAAACGAAACCCUAACGCCUCUUCCAUCUGGUUGCUCCUCACGAAACCCUAAUGCCUGUGUCCUCUCACGAAACCCUAACGCCUCUGUCCUCUCACAAAAGUAACGCUCACUCUCGGGUCCGCCAUUGCCACCUCCGCGCAAGGAUUCAACGUUUGUUUAGGUUCGUUUCGUUUCGUUUCUUCUAUCUGCAACUAAAACCCUAACUCGUGUUCAAUUUCGUCUACCAUUUUUACUCGUUUCAACUGCAUUUCGGGUAUCUCUGCCUCUGGUCUCUGUUAUCUCCAGGAACUAAGUCUCUUGGAGAUCACUGCCUCACCCUAUCUUAGGUGGCCUCUGCUUCUCUCAUGUUGGUUUGGCAAUCUCUGCCUGUCACUAAGAAUUUUUAUUUUUAAUUGUGAAUAUCAUCAUUAUUAAGUAAUUUAUUUUAUCAUUUUUGAGAAUUUGUAUGUAUAUUGUAUAUGAUAUAUAAACAAUUUAGGUUGAAUUGUUAGCUUGAAGCAGUUGAUAGAUUAACAUGUUUUCCAAAUCCUACUUUCCUCUAACAUAUAGAGGUUGCUAUUAUUAGCUAAAUUAGGCUCAAUGUCUUAUUAAAUAUAUUUUUGGGUUUUCGGUUUAAUGUCUUGUUAUCAGUUAAAUUAGGCUUCAACAGAUUAGAAUAAAACUGUUAUACUGCUUGAGGUACCUCAUCUCAUGUGCAAAUUAACUUAACUAUCAUUGUUUGUGUAUUUAUUGCGGGAGAAGAUUCAUAAGCUAGUUCUUUCUUGAAACUAUAUGUAAGUUGUAUUCUGAUUGCAAGUGACCAUGCAUUUGGUGUGAUUUUUCAUUCUUUCUGGGAAUCAACUGAUGCACAGUCAUCGUCUAAGACUAGACUUAUAUUAGUUGAAAUGAUUAAAUAAUGUAUUAGUUUCACAGAGGUUUAUACCAUUUAACCAAAUUUAAAUAAGAAAAAUGAUUUGAAAAAGAACAUGUUAAAAAGGAUGUUGACAUUCAAGACCUUGGUGAAAUAUCUGCAGAAGCUCAACAAUAUAUUUUCAAUUUGCAAUCUCGUUUGUCUUCCAUGAAAAAGGUACUUUGUAAAAAUUAGGGAUCGUCUUGUUGAUAUUUGAAUUGAAAGGAAUAACCAUGGGAUUCAUGAAGUCUUGAAUGGCCUGUGAAAUGUUAUGCUUCAUGGACACUGUUAAUUCUUGAUUUUCGCAUAUUUUAUGGUAUGCUUCAUCCUUUGAUUCAUGUUCUGUUUUAUUUUUGUGCUUGAUAAUGAUUGAUUUGCAUUCAAGAUCCUUAAUUGCAUAUAGGUCUGUAAUACAUUGUUAAUUCUUGAUUGUCGCAGAUUUUAUGGUAUGCUUCAUCCUUUGAUUCAUGUUCUCUUUUGUUUUUGUGCUUGAUAAUGAUUGAUUUGCAUUCAAGAUCCUUAAUUGCAUAUAGGUCUGCAAUACAUUUAGCUUGUUUUUCUCAUUUGGAUUUCUUUUUGUUUUGCGGGACACUUUUAAAGGAGUUACAUGAAGUAAAGAGGAAAAGUGUUGCUAUUCAAAUGCAACAGUUUGUCGGAGAGGAAAGAAUGAUUUAUUGGAUUACUUGAGAUCACUUCAACAUGAACAGGUUUUUCCCUUUUCUGGAAUUUCUGAUUUUCCUUGCAUUUGGACCUAUUCUCCUUUGGUGCUUUUUGCUCUGUUACAUCUGUGGCUCAUUCUCUUAACCAUGAAUAGGAUUCUUUCUGAUAUAAUUUUUCUGAUAGAUGCAAUGAUACAGAGCAUAACAUAAAUAAAUAACUAAGCAUUUGUGUUCUGUUCUGCACAAUACUUUUUUGCUUGUGUGCAGUGCAAUUUUGUACGAUUUUGGUGAACAUUUUAUAUGUAUAAUAAGAAAUGAUUCUUUGUCUCUGUCCCUAGAGCUUUCCCUAUGCCACAUCUACAGAAUAAAACUUAGUGUGAACUAUACUGACUAGAUGAGUAUUUUAACCUUAAAAGUUCCAAGAUUAUACAUCUAGAUGGGGAGAGCAGGACUGUGCUUUGCUUCGAUUGCUCCUUUACUCUGGAGAAAAUUAAUCAGUAGGUUUUUAUCUAAAUAGUAAAGAGAUUGAAUUGAAGCCUGCUUAUUCUAAACAACUAAUCAAAACUUCUAUUCUUAGAAUGAAACAUAGUGUGGUUUUGAUUAUUUUUCACAACAUGAAAGGUUAUGGUCACUGAGCUUUUAAUACUGGAAAAUGAAUGCACGGUUCUCUAUCCUGCUUCUGCAAAGGCUAGCCAUGAGAUUGGGACAUUAGAUAUCUUAUUGCUUUGUUAAAAAGAUAAUAUUUAGAAGUUUAAUGCUCUGGUCAUCUUGUUGUCUUUUUGUUUUCCUAUUCUUCUACACUUUUAAAGAAUUAAAGCUAACCAACUCAUAGGAGUCAAUUAACUGGACCCACAAACUUGAUGAGUUAAGAAGAAAUAUUUUUUUUUUCUCAAAAACUGGACUCAGUUUUCUUAAGUAACACAAGAUAAGCCUAUCCAAGUAGGCUCACACAUUUGUCUCUAUCAUGUUAGGCUAUGGAGAGAUGUAAGCUAUCAUAAAGGUGUAUAUUUGAGCAAAAUUUUCCAUAAAAAAAAUAUGUUAAAUGAAUUUCGUUAUAAGUUAAAAAUUAACUUAUACAAAAAUUAAAAAACAAUAAUUUAAAGAAGUUAUAUUAGAGAAUUAUUUUUUACGCAUGAGUUAAUUUCAAAUAUUGAAACAUAGAUUUUGAAAUAUUAAAUUAACGUCUCACCAAAUUGAUUGAUUGGGUCGAAUACGUAGCGAUGAUGGGCCUACAGGACAACUUACAGAUUGUUUUGUUUGGAUUGUCUUUAUUUACUGCAAAUGUGAAGUUCUUGCAUGAUUUAUUGGUGGUAAAGUCAAAUUUCAAGUUAAAAUAAAAUUUCAAAAUUGUAGCUAUAAUUUUGCUAAACUGAAGGUGAGAUCAUGAUGAUGUGGUGUAGUGCGAUGUCAUAGUUGUACUCUUGCGUCUUCACUUGAAAAAAAAAGGUAUCAUGUGCCAGUAGGGCAAAUUAAUACUUGACUAUUAUCAUGCUCUUUACAGAAAAAAUCAGUAAAUCAAUUGAAUCUUAUCGAUGAAUUUUUCUUGCAGGAGGUUUCAAUUAAUAGUAUCAUCAUUUGAAAAUUCCAAAAAAUUCAUAUCCCUACUCUUUUAAUACAAGCUAUCAAUAUAGUGUGUAAGGCGGUUAUUGUAUUUUAUGCAUUAAUCUGAAUCAUUUUGUGAAUCAGGACUUCUUUGGAAAACCAACAUUUUGAGUAGAAAAUUCCAACACUUCUAGGCACCUGGCUGAAUUUUGGGUUGGUGAUUUCGUUUUCUUGUGUGUUCAAUUUGAAUUAAAAAGAAGCUGGACUAUGAAUCCCUUUUUUCUUAUUAUGAAUAAUCUAUAUGUUUUUUUUUCUGCUUUGAUUGCUGAAGUAAUCUAAUGAUAACAUCUAUCUUUGAUGUGUCUAAUGGACAUUUUUCAGCUUCACAAUCAUCUAGUUGCUUCUCAGCUUCACAACCAUCACUCUAAGUAAGUUUGUUUUAGUUAACUUUUUUUACUCCAGUUUAAUAUAUAAUAUUCAUUAACUUAAAAUUAUUUAUUUCAGGCAUCAGAUUAUGGAAGUGGUGCUCCAUCACCUAAUCAAGUAAUAGGAUCAAGUGCCGGAAGCAAAACUAAUUAGGGAUGUGUUUUUAAUUUUAAACUUGAUUAGGGAUAUAUGAACUUUUGAACAAUUGUGUUGUAAUUUUGAACUUGAUUAGGGAUGUAUGAACUUUUUAUGUGUUUUAAUUUUCAAUUACAUAUAAACUUUUGAACAUUACUAUGUGUG
This 3901-nucleotide long non-coding RNA is filed under the name Phaseolus vulgaris (common bean). RNAcentral's name for it is "long non-coding RNA (PVUL_LNC000396)". Lineage: Eukaryota; Viridiplantae; Streptophyta; Magnoliopsida; Fabales; Fabaceae. The record is from RNAcentral.